RNAcentral lists this ribosomal RNA (1491 nucleotides) under metagenome. RNAcentral describes it as "bacterial SSU rRNA". It matches the Rfam family "Bacterial small subunit ribosomal RNA". The record is from RNAcentral.
AGAGUUUGAUCCUGGCUCAGAUUGAACGCUGGCGGCAUGCCUUACACAUGCAAGUCGAACGGCAGCACGAGAGCUUGCUCUUGGUGGCGAGUGGCGAACGGGUGAGUAAUAUAUCGGAACGUACCCUAGAGUGGGGGAUAACGUAGCGAAAGUUACGCUAAUACCGCAUACGAUCUAUGGAUGAAAGUGGGGGAUCGCAAGACCUCAUGCUCAUGGAGCGGCCGAUAUCUGAUUAGCUAGUUGGUGGGGUAAAAGCUCACCAAGGCGACGAUCAGUAGCUGGUCUGAGAGGACGACCAGCCACACUGGAACUGAGACACGGUCCAGACUCCUACGGGAGGCAGCAGUGGGGAAUUUUGGACAAUGGGCGCAAGCCUGAUCCAGCAAUGCCGCGUGAGUGAAGAAGGCCUUCGGGUUGUAAAGCUCUUUUGUCAGGGAAGAAACGGUGGACUCUAAUACAGAUCACUAAUGACGGUACCUGAAGAAUAAGCACCGGCUAACUACGUGCCAGCAGCCGCGGUAAUACGUAGGGUGCAAGCGUUAAUCGGAAUUACUGGGCGUAAAGCGUGCGCAGGCGGUUGUGCAAGACAGAUGUGAAAUCCCCGGGCUCAACCUGGGAAUUGCAUUUGUGACUGCACGGCUAGAGUGUGUCAGAGGGGGGUAGAAUUCCACGUGUAGCAGUGAAAUGCGUAGAGAUGUGGAGGAAUACCGAUGGCGAAGGCAGCCCCCUGGGAUAACACUGACGCUCAUGCACGAAAGCGUGGGGAGCAAACAGGAUUAGAUACCCUGGUAGUCCACGCCCUAAACGAUGUCUACUAGUUGUCGGGUCUUAAUUGACUUGGUAACGCAGCUAACGCGUGAAGUAGACCGCCUGGGGAGUACGGUCGCAAGAUUAAAACUCAAAGGAAUUGACGGGGACCCGCACAAGCGGUGGAUGAUGUGGAUUAAUUCGAUGCAACGCGAAAAACCUUACCUACCCUUGACAUGUCUGGAAUCCUUGAGAGAUCAGGGAGUGCUCGAAAGAGAAUCAGAACACAGGUGCUGCAUGGCUGUCGUCAGCUCGUGUCGUGAGAUGUUGGGUUAAGUCCCGCAACGAGCGCAACCCUUGUCAUUAGUUGCUACGAAAGGGCACUCUAAUGAGACUGCCGGUGACAAACCGGAGGAAGGUGGGGAUGACGUCAAGUCCUCAUGGCCCUUAUGGGUAGGGCUUCACACGUCAUACAAUGGUACAUACAGAGGGCCGCCAACCCGCGAGGGGGAGCUAAUCCCAGAAAGUGUAUCGUAGUCCGGAUUGUAGUCUGCAACUCGACUACAUGAAGUUGGAAUCGCUAGUAAUCGCGGAUCAGCAUGUCGCGGUGAAUACGUUCCCGGGUCUUGUACACACCGCCCGUCACACCAUGGGAGCGGGUUUCACCAGAAGUGGGUAGCCUAACCGCAAGGAGGGCGCUCACCACGGUGGGAUUCGUGACUGGGGUGAAGUCGUAACAAGGUA